UACGUAGGGUGCGAGCGUUAAUCGGAAUUACUGGGCGUAAAGCGUGCGCAGGCGGUUCGUUGUGUCGGUGGUGAAAUCCCCGGGCUCAACCUGGGAACUGCAUCUGUGACUGCAUCGCUGGAGUGCGGCAGAGGGGGAUGGAAUUCCGCGUGUAGCAGUGAAAUGCGUAGAUAUGCGGAGGAACACCGAUGGCGAAGGCAAUCCCCUGGGCCUGCACUGACGCUCAUGCACGAAAGCGUGGGGAGCAAACAGG
Molecule: ribosomal RNA, 253 nt
Filed under: uncultured bacterium
Lineage: Bacteria
Description: partial 16S ribosomal RNA
Rfam family: Bacterial small subunit ribosomal RNA
Source: RNAcentral